Molecule: long non-coding RNA, 1751 nt
Organism: Acipenser ruthenus (sterlet)
Lineage: Eukaryota; Metazoa; Chordata; Actinopteri; Acipenseriformes; Acipenseridae
Exons: 2
Source: RefSeq, a predicted model, not a curated record
AGUAUGUGCUUAGCCAGAAAUGUAUAACUCGCCCAGCGCUGACAGCUGCUUGUCACUUAGUAACUUCUUUCCAAGUUUUUUUUUUUCUUUCAAAGCCCUGCUUCUAUCUUGCUUUGUUUUUUUAAAAUAUGCAUGUCUCUCAGGAAUGCCAGUCACGAGUCCAAACUUUGUGUCCAACCUCCCACAUGAAAUGAUCCUUUUAUAGGGAACCCGAUAUGUCUCAAUCGGCAGAGCACUCAAUGCCUUUGGGCAUGGGGGCACUAGUGUUUUAAAAAUAAUCAUACCUAAUAACGGAAGAGAAAACUAGUUUUACAUACGAUCCUCAAGAUCUUCUCACGGUGAAGAAACAUAACAUACACCAUUAAAGGAUGCAACAGCCAGAAGGGAAGUCUUCCAAAAAAAUCACGCCUGCAGAAGAGAGGAUCGAAGACAAAGGUGCGUUUUUCGGGCCAAAACACAGGAGGGGGGGGAAGAGAAACAAACAGGAGAAAGCGCUUACUUUAACAUAAUCGCAUUUCCAACUCAAGGCGUUUUAAAAUUAUGCAUUUCAAUGGACUUCCCUUGCUAAUAAUCUGAGUUGAUAUCAGCAGAUAAGCAAACUGUCAAGAGAGGUUUGAUUUCAUUCCGGAUAUCUGAGUAUAGGGCUCGGAUCACUUUUCCUAUAGACUCAAUUUCACUCUGCACUUCGGAGUUAGCCAAGCGGUAGCAACAGGCUUCUCUUUAGUGCUCUGUCCCGUUGUAUUCCCUACUUCACUUCCACAUACAGAUCGCAUUUCUUAAUAUUCCUGCCGUGUUUUAUGGUCACUGAUUCUGGAGUCAUUUUGACGAACUAAUGUUUCACAUGGGUCACUUUAUUUUAUUGGUCCGGGGUUUUAAGUCUUCGGCUGAGUUAAAGUGACUUGUUAACAGGAGAGGCAGCGCACACAACGAAAAACUGUUCAGAGCCACUUUCCAUGGCAACAGCUUUCCAUCAAUCCCACGACAAUGACACACAAAGGACCAUAUUCACAAACAUGUACCUCGGCGCUAAGUCACCUGUUUAAAAAAUAAAUAAAUACAUAAAUAAAUAAAGCAAAUAAUGAUUCAUCUAACUUGAUGUUUCUUGCUCGUUUUGUAACAUUUUUUACUGAAUAAAAACAGAUACAUUACAAUGAGUACAGAAUGUCUCACAUUUGCUGCACAAUAAUAAUCCUCAUUCUUUUUAUUUUGAUCACUCUUUAAAAUCAACCAUUCAUGUUUCUAUUUGUUUAAUAAAAUUACAUAAAAUAUUCAAACAAACAAAAUCAUUUCAGAUACAGCAGUAUAUUUUGUCAUGAAUUAAAAAAAAAUACAAUUCAAUUACUGUACUUAGGUAAAUCAGAGAGAAUACAACCUAAAGCAGGCAGGCUACAGAGAAGCAAAAUAAUUACAACAAAAAGUGAAACGAAGCAAUUGUUGGAAAUAACAUAUACCAUUCAUUGCAAUCAUUGAACAUGCUUGUUGAUAAACCAUCACCCAAAAAAAACAAACACCAAAAGUCUAGUCUGUAUUUAUGGAUAUUUUGUAAUUCUGUAACAUAUAAAUCUAAAUGUUUAUAACUUGUAAUUUCUACAAACCAAGUUAAGCAAAAAUGAGUUCGGUAUAAGUUGUCACCAGCAUUGCAUAAAAAGUACAAACCACUGUAUUAAAAUGGUGGCGUUUUUAUUUGCUUGUAUAUGUAAGAAAUCACUGCUGGUAAACUGUAGCAAUUAUCAAUAAAAGUUUUAUUACUG